GUCGACCUAGGGUCAUCGGUCGGAUUUUCCGAUCGAGCCCCCCGAGAUGGAUUUCCGGCCAUCGCACCAGAACCGAAGGAAAGGUGAGGCCGAAAAGGAAGAAGAAGAAGAAAAAGAAGGAGAAGAAGAAGAAGAAGGAGAAGAAGAAGAAGAAGAAGGAGAAGAGGAAGAAGAAAGAAGGGAAGGAUCACGAACCACCAGG
Molecule: long non-coding RNA, 202 nt
Filed under: Elaeis guineensis (African oil palm)
Lineage: Eukaryota; Viridiplantae; Streptophyta; Magnoliopsida; Arecales; Arecaceae
Description: long non-coding RNA (EGUI_LNC026308)
Source: RNAcentral